CAGUAGCCACGGGAAUACGGAGGAUCCAAGCGUUAUCCGGAAUCAUUGGGUUUAAAGGGUCCGUAGGCGGUCUUGUAAGUCAGUGGUGAAAGCCCAUCGCUCAACGGUGGAACGGCCAUUGAUACUGCAGGACUUGAAUUAUUGGGAAGUAACUAGAAUAUGUAGUGUAGCGGUGAAAUGCUUAGAGAUUACAUGGAAUACCAAUUGCGAAGGCAGGUUACUACCAAUUGAUUGACGCUGAUGGACGAAAGCGUGGGUAGCGAACAGGAUUAGAGACCCGCGUAGUCCCUGUCUCUUAUAC
RNAcentral lists this ribosomal RNA (301 nucleotides) under uncultured bacterium. Its description in RNAcentral is "partial 16S ribosomal RNA". It matches the Rfam family "Bacterial small subunit ribosomal RNA", at positions 509 to 807 of the family's 1533-position model. The record is from RNAcentral.